GCAGAUUCGGGAUCAUCCAGCAGAUGUGUUGAAGAGGAGAUGGAUAACGGACACUCUACACGUGAAAACAUGGACUUUGUCUCUGCUGCUGGAUUUGAGAUGGUUGAGCUUCUGGUGUUUGUUGCACAACUAUUGAAAGAGUACAAAUGUAGUUGACGCGAAGGAGGUGUUGAUUAAAUUGGGGUAUGGUUUGGAAGAAGUUUUUUGUAUAGUAACUUUGGAUUUUGGAAGGUACAGAAUCUAUUAUUGUAACAUAACUAAACUAUUAGAAGCUUUCUCGAGUCACUGCUCAGUUAUCUUUUUUUAAACAUACAGAGACAUGAUUUUUUG
Molecule: unclassified non-coding RNA, 330 nt
Filed under: Hevea brasiliensis (rubber tree)
Lineage: Eukaryota; Viridiplantae; Streptophyta; Magnoliopsida; Malpighiales; Euphorbiaceae
Source: RNAcentral